GGGGGCGUAGCUCAGUCGGUAGAGCAACAGCCUUUUAAGCUGAUGGCCGUGGGUUCGAGUCCCACCGCCCCCACCA
Molecule: transfer RNA, 76 nt
Filed under: Planctomycetota bacterium
Lineage: Bacteria; Pseudomonadati; Planctomycetota
Description: Planctomycetes bacterium (bioreactor metagenome) tRNA-Lys
Rfam family: tRNA
About the family: Transfer RNA (tRNA) molecules are approximately 80 nucleotides in length. Their secondary structure includes four short double-helical elements and three loops (D, anti-codon, and T loops). Further hydrogen bonds mediate the characteristic L-shaped molecular structure. tRNAs have two regions of fundamental functional importance: the anti-codon, which is responsible for specific mRNA codon recognition, and the 3' end, to which the tRNAs corresponding amino acid is attached (by aminoacyl-tRNA synthetases). tRNAs cope with the degeneracy of the genetic code in two manners: having more than one tRNA (with a specific anti-codon) for a particular amino acid; and 'wobble' base-pairing, i.e. permitting non-standard base-pairing at the 3rd anti-codon position.
Source: RNAcentral